CUCUUAUCCAGAGAGGCGGAGGGACUAGGCCCGAUGAAGCCCGGCAACCAACAAACCACAAUGGUUUGGAAAGGUGCCAAUUCCUACAGAUCUUUAUUGAUCUGAAAGAUAAGAG
RNAcentral lists this non-coding RNA (115 nucleotides) under Fictibacillus phosphorivorans. RNAcentral describes it as "SAM-I sequence". It matches the Rfam family "SAM riboswitch aptamer (S box leader)". From Rfam's summary of the family: The SAM riboswitch is found upstream of a number of genes which code for proteins involved in methionine or cysteine biosynthesis in Gram-positive bacteria. Lineage: Bacteria; Bacillati; Bacillota; Bacilli; Caryophanales; Fictibacillaceae. The record is from RNAcentral.